CUCAAAGGAAUUGACGGGGGCCCGCACAAGCGGUGGAGCAUGUGGUUUAAUUCGAUGAUACGCGAGGAACCUUACCAGGGCUUAACAUCUAAAUUAAUAGGGUUAGAGAUCGAAUUGUCCUCAAGGACAGAUGACAAGGUGCUGCAUGGUUGUCGUCAGCUCGUGUCGUGAGAUGUUAGGUUAAGUCCUAUAACGAGCGCAACCCCUGUUGUUAGUUGCCAGCACGUUAAGUCGGGAACUCUAAAGAGACUGCCGGUGAAAACCCUGAGGAAGGUGGGGAUGACGUCAAAUCAUCACGGCCCUUACGUCCUGGGCUACACACGUGCUACAAUGGUAGGUACAGAGAGUUGCCACAUCGCGAGAAGGAGCAGAUCUAGAAAGCCGAUCACAGUUCGGAUCGGAGUCUGCAACUCGACUGCAUGAAGCCGGAAUCGCUAGUAAUCGCGCAUCAGCCAUGCCGCGGUGAAUGCGUUCCCGGGCCUUGUACACACCGCCCGUCAAGCCAUGGAAGCUGGGGGUGCCCGAAGUCAGUCAUCCCCAAUAAGGAGCUGCCGAGGGUUAAAUCGAUGACUAGGGCUAAGUCGUAACAAGGUAACC
This 597-nucleotide ribosomal RNA is filed under the name uncultured bacterium. RNAcentral's name for it is "bacterial SSU rRNA". It matches the Rfam family "Bacterial small subunit ribosomal RNA", at positions 900 to 1501 of the family's 1533-position model. The record is from RNAcentral.